GAUGAACGCUGGCGGCGUGCUUAACACAUGCAAGUCGAACGAGGAUGCCGGAGUGCUUGCACUUUGGCAGACUGAGUGGCGGACGGGUGAGUAACGCGUGGGUAACCUGCCUUAUACAGGGGGAUAACAGUUGGAAACGACUGCUAAUACCGCAUAAGCGCACGGUAUCGCAUGAUACAGUGUGAAAAACUCCGGUGGUAUAAGAUGGACCCGCGUCUGAUUAGCUUGUUGGUGAGGUAACGGCCCACCAAGGCGACGAUCAGUAGCCGGCCUGAGAGGGUGAACGGCCACAUUGGGACUGAGACACGGCCCAAACUCCUACGGGAGGCAGCAGUGGGGAAUAUUGCACAAUGGGGGAAACCCUGAUGCAGCGACGCCGCGUGGAGGAAGAAGGUCUUCGGAUUGUAAACUCCUGUUGUUGAGGAAGAUAAUGACGGUACUCAACAAGGAAGUGACGGCUAACUACGUG
RNAcentral lists this ribosomal RNA (469 nucleotides) under uncultured bacterium. Its description in RNAcentral is "bacterial SSU rRNA". It matches the Rfam family "Bacterial small subunit ribosomal RNA", at positions 28 to 507 of the family's 1533-position model. The record is from RNAcentral.